CGGCCGCACCCGAGCGGCAGCGCCGGGCGUUGCCAUGGGGACGCGGCCCGGCCCGGCCUGCCGGGAGAGCCGUGUGAGCGCAGCGUGGGUGGGUGUCCGUACACAGCGCCGAGGUGUUCCUAGACAAACGCGUUUACACGGAAUAUGUCUCAUGCUCGCGGCUGGAGGUGGCAUUUCCCCCAGGUGUACCGGCCCAGGGGGCCCCAAGUUCAUCCUCAAAUCUUGCACAUACCAGUGUGCACACCACUGGAUGAGUGUAAUGCCUUGCUGUGAGCACCUCCUUGUACAAUGUUCAGAUGAGUCACUGCAACAGCCCUAAAUCCUGCCAGUGUGCAAAAUCAAAAGCAAACAGAAGAAAAAAAGAUGCAGUAAUUUUCCCAUGAGCCGAACAAAUGUAAGAAUCGGCUACUGGGCAGCACCCCACACUCAUGGGAUUCAUCAGGAGAUCCAGGACUGAUGACUUGCUUCUCAGUUCAGGUUACAGGAAAUUCUUCCAAAGUUAUGGAACUACAACAAGUAUCCAAUAAAUAGAUGAAGGGGAGAAUCUUACAGCAAA
Pseudopipra pipra is the source of this 556-nucleotide long non-coding RNA. RefSeq lists it as uncharacterized. The transcript is spliced from 3 exons. The record is from RefSeq and is a predicted model, not a curated record. Lineage: Eukaryota; Metazoa; Chordata; Aves; Passeriformes; Pipridae.